Molecule: ribosomal RNA, 253 nt
Filed under: uncultured archaeon
Lineage: Archaea
Description: partial 16S ribosomal RNA
Rfam family: Archaeal small subunit ribosomal RNA
Source: RNAcentral
CCCCAGCGCCACAAGUGGGAGUCGCUUUUAUUGGGCCUAAAGCGUUCGUAGCCCGUUUUGUAAGUCUUUUGUGAAAUUGUUGGGCUUAACCCAACAGCGUGCAAGAGAGACUGCAUUUCUAGAGACCGGGAGGAGUAUGGGGUAUUCCAUGGGGAACGGUAAAAUGUAAUAAUCCAUGGAGGACCACCAGUGGCGAAGGCGCCAUACUAGAACGGAUCUGACGGUGAGGAACGAAGGCCAGGGGAGCAAAACG